RNA transcript from Chelonoidis abingdonii (Abingdon island giant tortoise), 4428 nucleotides. It is a transcript of the gene named leucine rich repeats and immunoglobulin like domains 2, with no coding region annotated. NCBI's taxonomy places the organism in Eukaryota, Metazoa, Chordata, Testudines, Testudinidae. The record is from RefSeq and is a predicted model, not a curated record.
UCUCCAGGGAUUUAAGUCAUAAUCACUUACUGUCCUCUAACUGGAGCAUUGAUUUGUCUAUUCACACACUGCAAGAAGUGAAGAUGAAUUACAAUGAGCUAAGUGAAAUUCCCUACUUUGGAGAAUCAACUUCUAAUAUUACUAUUCUGUCAUUAGUACACAAUACAAUUCCAGAGAUAAAUGCUGAGCAGCUCCAACUUUACCUUUCUUUGGAGAACCUAGACCUUAGCUCUAACCUCAUAUCAGAUAUUAAAGCUUCUUCAUUCCCACGAAUGCAGUUGAAGUACCUGAAUCUGAGUAACAACAGAAUAACUACCCUAGAAGCAGGCUGCUUUGAUAACUUAUCCAGUUCUCUAGUGGUGGUGAAACUAAACAGAAACAGAAUUAGUAUGAUUCCACCAAAGGUCUUCAGAUUGCCUCACGUGCAAUUCCUGGAACUUAAAAGGAACCGGAUUAAAAUAGUGGAAAGUCUUACAUUCCAGGGUCUGGAAUCCUUAAAGUCAUUAAAAAUGCAGCGCAAUGGGAUUAGCAAACUAAUGGAUGGAGCAUUCUUUGGAUUGGAUAAUAUGGAAGAACUAGAACUGGAACAUAAUAACCUGACAGAAAUAAACAAGGGCUGGUUGUAUGGCUUACGAACGUUGCAACAACUCUACGUUAGCCAAAAUGCCAUUAACAGGAUCAGUCCAGAUGCAUGGGAAUUCUGCCAGAGACUUUCUGAACUAGACUUGUCGUACAACCAGCUGACCCGCCUGGAUGAGUCUGCCUUUGCGGGACUUGGCUUAUUGGAGAAAUUAAAUCUAGGUGACAACAGAAUCAUUCACAUUGCUGAUGGUGUCUUUAAAGGGCUGUCAAAUCUUCAAACUCUAGAUUUGCGGAACAACGAGAUCUUUUGGGCCAUAGAAGAUUCAAAUGAAGCCUUUGCAGGUCUCAGCAGCCUCAGCAAACUAAUCUUGCAAGGAAACCAGAUCAAAUCAAUUACAAAGAAAGCAUUCUCUGGUCUUGAAGCACUUAAACAUCUAGAUUUGAACAACAAUGCAAUAAUGUCUAUCCAAGAAAAUGCUUUUGCUCAGACUCACUUUAGUGAAUUGAUGUUGAACACCAGCAGCCUUCUCUGUGACUGCCAGUUGAAAUGGCUGCUUCAGUGGCUCGUUGACAGCCAUUUACAACAGGCUGUAAAUGUUAGCUGUGCUCACCCUGAAUGGCUAGCAGGACAAAGCAUUCUCAGUGUGAAUCCUGAAGACUUUGUCUGUGAUGACUUUCCUAAACCACAGAUAAGAGUACAUCCUGAGAGCACAAUUGCUCUAAGAGGCAUAAAUGUGACUUUGACUUGCACUGCAGUAAGCACUAGUGAUUCACCAAUGUCCACUGCAUGGCGUAAAGACAGCGAAAUUUUGUAUGAUGCAGAAGUUGAGCAUUUUGCCAGGUAUCAGCAGCAAGAUGGAGAGGUCCUUGAGUACACCACAGUCCUGCAUCUUUUCUAUGUGAAUUUCACCGAUGAAGGGAAAUACCAGUGCAUUGUCACCAAUCACUUUGGUUCCAAUUAUUCCAACAAAGCCAAACUGACUGUCAAUGAGCUGCCUUCCUUUCUGAAAACCCCCAUGGAUCUAACUAUCCGUACUGGGGCCAUGGCCCGACUUGAGUGUGCUGCUGAGGGCCACCCCUCUCCCCAGAUCUCAUGGCAGAAAGACGGUGGCACAGACUUCCCUGCAGCACGAGAGAGGCGAAUGCAUGUUAUGCCUGAAGAUGAUGUGUUCUUCAUCGCAAAUGUAAAAAUAGAAGAUAUGGGAAUCUAUAGCUGUAUGGCACAAAACAUCGCAGGAGGUCUAUCAGCAAAUGCCACACUGACUGUGUUGGAAACUCCUUCGUUUGUUAGGCCUCUGGAAGACAGGGCAGUAACCCGAGGUGAAACUGCCGUGCUGCAGUGUAUAGCUGGUGGCAGUCCAGCCCCUCGCCUGAACUGGACUAAAGAUGAUGGGCCCCUAACAGUAACAGAACGACACUUCUUUGCUGCUGCCAAUCAACUCCUUAUCAUCGUGGAUGCUGGAUUAGAGGAUGCUGGGAAAUAUACGUGCAUUAUGUCCAACACACUUGGCACAGAGCGUGGCCAUAUUUACUUAAAUGUAUUAUCUUCCCCAAGUUGUGAUUCCUCCCAAAGUGGUAUUUUACACGAGGAAGAUGGCUGGACGACAGUUGGCAUUGUGAUUAUUGUUGUAGUCUGCUGUGUUGUGGGCACCUCUUUGGUAUGGGUUAUAGUUAUAUAUCACAUGCGGAGAAAAAGUGAAGACUACAGCAUCACUAACACAGAGGAGAUGAAUUUACCUGCAGAUAUUCCCAGUUAUUUAUCCUCCCAAGGAACUCUUUCUGAACCUCAAGAAGGCUACAGCAACUCAGAGGCAGGAAGCCAUCAACAACUUAUGCCUCCUGCAAAUGGCUAUGUGCGCAAGGGAACAGAUGGUCCUAGUAGCCAGGUAUCCCGGCUACGACUGGUGAUGUGAGCAAACCCCCAGCUGUUCACUGCAGAAGUGGGAGACGGGACAUCUCCCAGAGAGCUGUGCCAACCUUUCUCUGAGAACUGUGCAUUCAUCGGACUUGGUGUGUCACUUCCCAGAACCAGCGUUCUCACAGUUCCAGACUGGCCCCUAGCCCAGUAUCACAGCUGUGGGUAACCCACAAGGUGAACCUGUCUGCUGCAUGCUUGCCAGGGCAGGAGAAGGAAACACAGAGCAAAAGGAAGGAGCCUGCAGCAUGUUCAGCUAUUAACUUCAAGGAGGUGUCCCAAGACAACUGCACAUGAGCUAUGAAACCCCAGGUCACUCAGGGAUGAUGGGCUGCCUCUUGCUGAGUGCUCGAAAUUACCGCAUUUUGAUAACUGCAAAGAGGCUGUGUUCCUGGAGCACAGAGCAAGUCAAACACUAAAGGAUUCAUGCGCUUCUGCUGUGGAUUCACUGUUCCUCUGUUCACUCUUACCUCACCACGUAGUGACAUUUGCUCAGGAGGCUGAGCUAUGGAGCACCUGUUCCCUGCACAAUAUGAUGCUGUACUGUCUGACUGCUACUCAUCUACCCCAGAGCUGACUGCGUUUCAGUGGCACUACGCGUAUAUCCUUGGAACAUCCCUUUGGAUCCUUGGAGGCGGAGGUACUAGAGAUGUAGAGGGUGUUUGAUGGGAAGAUUUUCAGGUUUAAUACUCAGCAGGGAGAGAUUUCCAGUGCAAUUCUCCUGCGGUGUCUCAUGCUACUAAUGCUGCCAGACUAGAGGGAACAGGAAUCUUAAAUGCUCUCCUCUUCCUUGCAGUUGGUGGUACCUGGCCUUUCUUGCAUGGUCUGGUCUUUCCUUUUGGCUGCCCCUCACUCCACUACUUAAGCCUGACAGCUCUGAUUUCACUCUCACUGUCACAGAACAGGAAGUUUUUGACAGCUGCCUUUGCCAUUAUUCUUUCCUUAAUGUUGUUGUUGUUUUUUGCGUUACUGUCAAAUCGCAUCUUAUUAAAGCUCCUUCCCAUCCUGUCAGCACCAGCUGAAGAGAGUGAAUGGCCACAUAUCUCCAGCCCCUGUAUGGGGAAAUUGCCUUCUAUUAUUGAUAAGAAAAUGCUGCUCUGGGAGAAUGUGACUCUGCUGCUUAUCCAGGUCAAUCCUCUGGCCAUGGACUCACCGCACUGCAGCAGUUCUGACUGCAAAGCAGGCUUCGGUGUAGGUACCCCAAACACCAGGCUGUGUGCACUGUGCGGGUUGUGUGCCUCUUCCUCUGCCCUGAGCACAACAUGGGAGGGGGUCAGGCAAAUAAGUUGGUGACCCUGAUUUGCUGAUUCUGGGCAGUGUGACAGUCUUCCCACUGCUGGGGAAUUUGGCUCUGCAUCAAGAAGGACGACUCCUGCAAGAGAUGACCAAGCCACGACCAGCUCAGGUUGGGGUAACAGCAGCUGUUAGCCAGCCACAGGCAGUGAAGGAUGCAGCAAAGGGAAAUAUGUGCCAUCAGAGCUGAUGCAUUUAAAUUGUACUGACCAUGGUUACCAUGCUGCUGGUGUUUAAACAGGUGGUGAAAGGCAUGGCACUGUAAACGGGGAGGUGAGAGAUUAGAGUGCUUUCAGCAGGAGGCCUUUCCUUCUGCAGUUAGUCCUCACUGGAAACCUGGCUUAGCCCAAACCUUGCCAUAUCUAUAAUGCAUUGAACGACUCUCCACCCCCACCCAGAGUCAGCUCUAAGCACUCUGAAAUUGCUGAUGUGUCUGCCCGUUGGGUUCUAGUGCAGGAGGCUGGGGUCAUGGUGAAUUUGCUCCUGUGACGAAGUGGGACUGGUUUUAAUAUUCCCUCUGAAUACUGUGGGGGGGGCCUCAGCUCUGGCCGACCCUCUGUGGCCUAGCAACUAAUGGCCAGGCCCUUCCUCCUGCAAGGGGAUGCUAAAGGUGUUGGAGACAGAGAGAUCAGGUGACC